AGACAGCAGUAGCCGCGGUAAUACGUAGGUCCCGAGCGUUGUCCGGAUUUAUUGGGCGUAAAGCGAGCGCAGGCGGUUAGAUAAGUCUGAAGUUAAAGGCUGUGGCUUAACCAUAGUAUGCUUUGGAAACUGUUUAACUUGAGUGCAGAAGGGGAGAGUGGAAUUCCAUGUGUAGCGGUGAAAUGCGUAGAUAUAUGGAGGAACACCGGUGGCGAAAGCGGCUCUCUGGUCUGUAACUGACGCUGAGGCUCGAAAGCGUGGGGAGCAAACAGGAUUAGAUACCCCGGUAGUCCCUGUCUCUUAUACA
RNAcentral lists this ribosomal RNA (307 nucleotides) under uncultured bacterium. RNAcentral's name for it is "partial 16S ribosomal RNA". It matches the Rfam family "Bacterial small subunit ribosomal RNA", at positions 506 to 808 of the family's 1533-position model. The record is from RNAcentral.